RNAcentral lists this non-coding RNA (21 nucleotides) under Arabidopsis thaliana (thale cress). The record is from RNAcentral. Lineage: Eukaryota; Viridiplantae; Streptophyta; Magnoliopsida; Brassicales; Brassicaceae.
GUAAUGCCUCUGUUGAUCUAU